UACGGAGUGGGCGAGCGUUAUUCGGAAUUAUUGGGCGUAAAGGGCGCGUAGGCGGCGCGAUAAGUCAAAGGUGAAAUCCCUCGGCUCAACUGAGGAACUGCCUUUGAAACUGUCGAGCUCGAGGCCGGGAGGGGGUAGCGGAAUUCCCAGUGUAGCGGUGAAAUGCGUAGAUAUUGGGAGGAACACCAGUGGCGAAGGCGGCUACCUGGACCGGUUCUGACGCUGAUGCGCGAAAGCGUGGGUAGCAAACAGG
RNAcentral lists this ribosomal RNA (253 nucleotides) under uncultured bacterium. RNAcentral describes it as "partial 16S ribosomal RNA". It matches the Rfam family "Bacterial small subunit ribosomal RNA", at positions 524 to 776 of the family's 1533-position model. The record is from RNAcentral.